GGGCGGAUAGCUCAGUUGGAAGAGCAUCUCUCUUACACAGAGAAGGUCACAGGUUCGAGCCCUGUUUCGCCCACCA
RNAcentral lists this transfer RNA (76 nucleotides) under Armatimonadota bacterium. RNAcentral's name for it is "Armatimonadetes bacterium (anaerobic digester metagenome) tRNA-Val". It matches the Rfam family "tRNA". Rfam says of the family: Transfer RNA (tRNA) molecules are approximately 80 nucleotides in length. Their secondary structure includes four short double-helical elements and three loops (D, anti-codon, and T loops). Lineage: Bacteria; Bacillati; Armatimonadota. The record is from RNAcentral.